RNAcentral lists this ribosomal RNA (323 nucleotides) under uncultured CFB group bacterium B2M41. RNAcentral's name for it is "bacterial SSU rRNA". It matches the Rfam family "Bacterial small subunit ribosomal RNA", at positions 1084 to 1405 of the family's 1533-position model. The record is from RNAcentral. Lineage: Bacteria; Pseudomonadati; Bacteroidota.
GUCCUAUAACGAGCGCAACCCCUACCUGUUAGUUGCCAGCAUGUAAAGAUGGGGACUCUAGCGGGACUGCCGGUGCAAACCGAGAGGAAGGUGGGGAUGACGUCAAAUCAUCACGGCCCUUACGUCCUGGGCUACACACGUGCUACAAUGGUCGGUACAGAGGGCAGCCACUGCGUGAGCAGGAGCGAAUCCUUAAAACCGAUCUCAGUUCGGAUCGGAGUCUGCCACUCGACUCCGUGAAGCUGGAAUCGCUAGUAAUCGGAUAUCAGCCAUGAUCCGGUGAAUACGUUCCCGGGCCUUGUACACACCGCCCGUCAAGCCAU